Non-coding RNA from Nothobranchius furzeri (turquoise killifish), 1340 nucleotides. The record is from RefSeq and is a predicted model, not a curated record. Lineage: Eukaryota; Metazoa; Chordata; Actinopteri; Cyprinodontiformes; Nothobranchiidae.
GUUGACAUACAGGCUGCCAUGGUGACCUUUUAAUAGAUCUAAGAAAAAAAUGUAAUAAAAGAAUGAAACUUAAAAACUCCCAAACCUCAUGUCAUAUUUACUAAUCAGCUAUGGCUGAUUUAUUGUUUGGAUCACAGUGAGUUACACUAAUUCUAAUAUAUUUUUAUUUCUAUUGUACAUACAUACUUUUUAACUGUUAUUUUCACAUGACUGUUAUCAGGCUCUCUUGUUCUGGUUCUGAUGAUAAUCCCGUGUCUUCCAGUAAGUUAUCUUGUGCUUACUUCAUCUGUAUAAUGUCUCUUUACUUUUGGUAAAUUGUACUGAGUCCAGAAUAAAGGCUAGUUGGCUGUACAAGAUACAAACAAGUAUUACGUUUUGGAAAUAUAUGAAACACCGCCAGCAUCUGUUAGAGCCUGUGGCGGGGUGCUGAGGGCCGGCUCCAGCCCAGGAAUGAGCUCUACACGCCGGCCGGGAGGGUUUGAAACACCGCCAUCCUCUCCUCUGCUGGCUGUUCAUUCUGUUAUGGUUACCGGUGCUUGUGUUGCAAUGUGAAACGUUUGGUCUCAGAUUUUGUAAGAAAGAUAAUAAAAUGUCCCCCCAAAGUACGACUUAAAUAUAUUUUCUCUUCUUCAUGAUACAUUUAAUGGCUGGUGCGACUCAGGAGUGAUAGCGCCGAAAAAAACUGUACUGAAAACUUGCUCAAAGCAAAAUGUAUUCAUUACGGAAAUAAAUUAUAAACUUACCGAUUUAAAACUUUUUUAAUACAGGUACUUCUCACGAACAGGCACAGAAAACCUCCACCUAAACUCCGUGUGAGGUUCAGGUCGAUGGGUGUUCCAGUUAGCUCCGGUUGGGUUGAAGCUAGGUGGCUACAUCCGUUAGCUCGGCUCCCACCUCCGCUUUAGCUUUGGGUUAGCCAGGGUUAGCUUCAGGUUAGCUCGUAGCUAGUUCGCCUGGGUGUCGUCACUCGAGCCCAGCCUUACAGCCACACCCUCAGCGCCUCCUCUCUUCCCUUUUAUGGAAUUGUCUGGGCUGGACGGAACCUGUGACACGGUCAAAAUGGCGGUGGUGGACACCUCCCAUUAUGGACAGAUAACGUGUUAUUGAAGCCUAUGGAAUCGAAUUGUCCAGUAUAUGUACAGUCUAUGUUUGCACGCCGGCUGUGGAUUUUCAACAGGCAGAGAAAGGGGAGAGCUAUUAAGUUUUAAACGACUGCAGGUGUCCAGGGUCAGGAGAGGCUUUACCUGUCCUGGGAGAGAGGCCUUCUACUGUCAUCAUGUUAUUGUUAUUUAGCUGUUUGAUAUUUGAACACAUUUAUUAAAACAAAUACUAACUGAGAA